UCGGAGAGUUUGAUCCUGGCUCAGGACGAACGCUGGCGGCGUGCCUAAUACAUGCAAGUCGAGCGGACAGAUGGGAGCUUGCUCCCUGAUGUUAGCGGCGGACGGGUGAGUAACACGUGGGUAACCUGCCUGUAAGACUGGGAUAACUCCGGGAAACCGGGGCUAAUACCGGAUGGUUGUUUGAACCGCAUGGUUCAAACAUAAAAGGUGGCUUCGGCUACCACUUACAGAUGGACCCGCGGCGCAUUAGCUAGUUGGUGAGGUAA
This 266-nucleotide ribosomal RNA is filed under the name Bacillus subtilis. Its description in RNAcentral is "partial 16S ribosomal RNA". It matches the Rfam family "Bacterial small subunit ribosomal RNA", at positions 1 to 260 of the family's 1533-position model. The record is from RNAcentral. Lineage: Bacteria; Bacillati; Bacillota; Bacilli; Caryophanales; Bacillaceae.